Molecule: ribosomal RNA, 251 nt
Filed under: uncultured Faecalibacterium sp.
Lineage: Bacteria; Bacillati; Bacillota; Clostridia; Eubacteriales; Oscillospiraceae
Description: partial 16S ribosomal RNA
Rfam family: Bacterial small subunit ribosomal RNA
Source: RNAcentral
AUCGAGUGGCGAACGGGUGAGUAACGCGUGAGGAACCUGCCUCAAAGAGGGGGACAACAGUUGGAAACGACUGCUAAUACCGCAUAAGCCCACGGUGCCGCAUGGCACAGAGGGAAAAGGAGCAAUCCGCUUUGAGAUGGCCUCGCGUCCGAUUAGCUAGUUGGUGAGGUAACGGCCCACCAAGGCGACGAUCGGUAGCCGGACUGAGAGGUUGAACGGCCACAUUGGGACUGAGACACGGCCCAGACUCC